CGACCCCUCGAUUCGUUCCCUGUAGCAUACUUUUGGCUGCUAGCGUGUGGUGAACCGUUUGUUUUUUUUACAUUCACAUUAAACCCAAUAAGAGUCGCGCAAAUGGCGCCUCCUCACCUGUGCCACAUCGAUUUUACUGUGCCAAGGGGAAAGGUUAAAAACGCUUGGACCCAAUCUAAAAAAUCCGCAUCUACCCAUUGAUCCUCUCACACGCAAGCCUCCUCUCUCUCUUGUCUUGCGAGCCCUCUCUCCUCCCCGCGACUCCUCGGCGCCGCCACCACUCAUGCCGGCCGAUUCCGGCGAGUCCCGAUGGCGGGUGGCAGACCUACGACCUCCCCUCGCUCUGCUCCUUCCUCCCAUCCCUCCAAAUUCGUUGCUAGAGGCCUCCUGCGCUCGCUCCCGACCCUCAGCCGUGGCUAGGGUUUCAGGAGCGGCGUCCACUUCGUCGCCGGCGAGGCUAUGGUGGCUCGUCUCCCCCCAACCCCCGCGCCCACGCGUGGCUGGCCAUGAGGUGCACGCAGUGCGUCGGGCCGUGCCUCCUUUGCACCAGUGAAGAGAUAAUGAAGGUUGUUGCGCCGAUGCUAGUCUGGAGCACCACUCAGAGGCCUUGUUGUCGAGUGGGAGGAUCAGAAGGUAGUGGGAGACGAUGCCGAGUGGAUCGAUGAUAGUUGUGUCGUGUUUGGUGUCCAGGAGCUGGCGGUAGGAAGUGAAGGUCAUCAAGGUCGCAGUCCACACAUCCUCGUCCAUGUUGUGCCACCCUACAAAUGAUUUCCUCUUUGGUCGCUCCUCCUCACAGACGCUCCAGGACGACAUCUCAGCACGGCAUCGUUUGAGGAGAGGAUCAUUGUCGUGCGCUCGAUGGCAGGAACAGACCGAGGUCCUCAUUCGACCUUAAUUUCAAGCACCAGCAUCCUCAGAAUUCUAUACCUGACAGUCAUGAUAUGAAGGAUCUGGAUGAACCAUUUGAUCCCAUGUUUAGCCGCCUACGGACAACCCUUUUGGUAAUUACAAGAGCACGUUCAUACUCCCUUUGUCCAAAAUAAGUGAUUCAACUUAUGUGCUGAUGGUAAACAGUUGUGCGUGUGUAUUUGGUCUAUUUCCUCUCCAUAUCCAUGGUUUUCAUGCUGAUUUGUGUUUUCCGCUUUCUAUUUCAAGUUAUCGCCCAUGUAGCUGUGUAUUUGGCUGCAGGUCAUCGCUACUACUCCCUCCGUCCGGAAAUAUUUGUCAUCAAAAUGGCUAAAAGUCGAUAUAUCUAGACGUAUUUUAAUUCUAGAUACGUCUCUUUUUAUCUAUUUUGAUGACAAGUAUUUUCGAACGGAGGGAGUACCUCGAUGAAGUCACACGGACCCAGUGGUUCACACUACCUCCAAAGCAUUCGAAGAAGGUGUCCGCGUACAUGGUAUAAUUGUCUAUAUACAUAUAUCACCAUACAUUAAAAUGAAGAACGACGGCGUCUAAAAGAUUCUGAAGCUUCAUUCUGGAGUUACAUGAAUCUGGGGCUGACUGAGGGAGAUCAAAAUGGUACCAGAUGGUAACAUUAGGUUGUAUGCAUGCAGUGAUGUUUAAUCAAGAUCGUUCAAAGGCUAUAUUCAGGUGUCUCUGUCGUGACUUGCUUGGCAUUAUUCUCAUAUCCGUUAGGCAGUAGUAACCUUCUUUUGAUGGUUGUCGACACACACCUUCAGUCACACAUACACCAUACGAGCAGUCAAAACAGCAGGAGAUGCUCCCACUGCUAUAUUCUUAAUUUUUGAGAAAUAAUACAUACUGUCUGUAUGCCCACCAAUUGGUGGCAGAAAGGGUCUUUUUUUGCGAAAGGGCAGAAAGGGCCUUACAAAUAAAACAAGGCCAAGUAUAAAAAAUAUACAAGGUUCUGGCCCUGAACUUCAGAAUCCCUAGGUCUGAAGUUAGUCCUGUCUUACAACUGAGCAAUAUGCAGAGCCUCUGGUACGCGCAGCCAUGCUCUAUCGCCGCCACCUGCUACUUCAAGUCCGUCAACGGCCUCGCCGGAAACUGGGGCUUAUCCAUAGUCCGACUCAAUCUCUGUGUCGCCCUCCUCGCCGGUAUACAUGCAUCUCGUUUAGUCAGCUCGUUGUACAACUUGUAGUCUCCUCAAUCCAGAAGUAGGAAUUCACAGAUAAAAUGCUUAUCUGAAUUCAGGUGUACAACCAUUUUUUUUUUGGAUUUUAGGUUGGAUGCUCACAUAAGAGGUGAUCUGAUUUUUCUAUCGCUUGUCUCUUUUUGCUAAUGCUGGGAUGUGUCCAAGUGUUGAUUUUUGUCAUGUGUGGAAGCUGGACUGUGUCUAUAUGUACAUUUUUGUUCAUGCAAGAAUUUUUUAUUUGCACUCACUGGAUCAUGUUAUUCUCAUGUGUAGCUCGUCAUUUAC
Triticum aestivum (bread wheat) is the source of this 2383-nucleotide long non-coding RNA. RefSeq lists it as uncharacterized. The record is from RefSeq and is a predicted model, not a curated record. NCBI's taxonomy places the organism in Eukaryota, Viridiplantae, Streptophyta, Magnoliopsida, Poales, Poaceae. The transcript has 7 exons.